AGAGUUUGAUCCUGGCUCAGAACGAACGCUGGCGGCGUGGAUUAGGCAUGCAAGUCGAACGAGAAGCUUUGAAUUCAAGUUUUCGGACGAGAAUUCAGAGUGGAGAGUGGCGAAAGGGUGAGUAACGCGUGGGUAAUUUGCCCAUAAGUUUGGGAUAGCCAGCCGAAAGGCUGGAUAAUACCGAAUGUGGUCGUGUCGCGCAUGCGACACUGUCUAAAGGUGGGGAUCCUUCGGGACCUGCCGCUUACGGAUGAACCCGCGUCCUAUCAGCUUGUUGGUAGGGUAACCGCUUACCAAGGCUAUAACGGGUAGCUGGUCUGAGAGGAUGGUCAGCCACACUGGGACUGAGACACUGCCCAGACUCCUACGGGAGGCUGCAGUCGAGAAUCAUUCGCAAUGCGCGAAAGCGUGACGAUGCGACGCCGCGUGUAGGAUGACGGCCUUCGGGUUGUAAACUACUGUCAUGGGAGAACAAUGAGCAGGAUGUUAACACCAUCCUGAAGUGAUAGUAUCCCAAGAGGAAGCCACGGCUAACUCUGUGCCAGCAGCCGCGGUAAUACAGAGGUGGCGAGCGUUGUUCGGAUUUACUGGGCGUAAAGGGUGCGUAGGCGGCUUCGUGUGUCGGAUGUGAAAUCUCACCGUUCAUCGGUGAAAAUGCAUUCGAAACUGCGGGGCUAGAGUACAGGAGAGGAGAGCGGAAUUCUUGGUGUAGCGGUGAAAUGCGUAGAUAUCAAGAGGAACGCCGGCGGCGAAGGCGGCUCUCUGGAAUGAUACUGACGCUGAGGCACGAAAGCUGGGGGAGCAAACAGGAUUAGAUACCCUGGUAGUCCCAGCCGUAAACGGUGUGCACUUGGUGUGGGUCGGUUUGUCCCGAUCCGUGCCGGAGCUAACGCGUUAAGUGCACCGCCUGGGGAGUACGGUCGCAAGGCUAAAACUCAAAGGAAUUGACGGGGGCCCGCACAAGCGGUGGAGCAUGUGGCUUAAUUCGAUGCAACGCGAAGAACCUUACCAGGACUUGACAUGUAACUGCGCGUCCGCCGAAAGGUGGAAAGCCUUCGAGGGUGUUACACAGGUGCUGCAUGGCUGUCGUCAGCUCGUGCCGUGAGGUGUUGGGUUAAGUCCCGCAACGAGCGCAACCCCUGUGGUUAGUUGCCACUUUCGCAGAGAUGUGAAAAGCACUCUAGCCAGACUGCCUGUGAUAAGCAGGAGGAAGGUGGGGAUGACGUCAAGUCAGUAUGGUCCUUAUGUCCUGGGCUGCACACGUGCUACAAUGGUCGGUAUAGAAGGACGCGAAACCGCGAGGUGGAGCAAAUCCCCAAAACCGACCCAAGUUCGGAUCGAAGUCUGCAACUCGACUUCGUGAAGUUGGAAUCGCUAGUAAAGGCGUAUCAGCUACGACGCCUUGAAUACGUUCCCGGGCCUUGUACACACCGCCCGUCACAUCACGAAAGCCGAUUGCACCCGAAGUCGCUGAUCUAAUCUCUUUUAGAGAAAGAAGGUGCCAAAGGUGUGAUUGGUAAUUGGGAUGAAGUCGUAACAAGGUA
This 1544-nucleotide ribosomal RNA is filed under the name metagenome. RNAcentral's name for it is "bacterial SSU rRNA". It matches the Rfam family "Bacterial small subunit ribosomal RNA". The record is from RNAcentral.